AAUCAUAACCUCAAUGAUUAUUGCAAUGUUGAGUCAAAAGGUUAGUAAAAAUGAGAUAUACAAAUACAAAUUUAAUAUUUGUAGCCCCUUCAGUAACAAUAAUAUAGUUCGGCUAAACAGGAAUAAAAACUAAUACAAUGGUUUUCAAUUGAAGAAAUAUAAUGACUCAGAACAUAAUAAAGAUAUUUGCUCAAAUAAAGAUUAUGAAUGCAAAGUAAGAAUAUAAAAUAAUAAUCCACCAUCAUCACGAAAAAAUGAUUUGAAGAAGAAUAAAUUUUUUUACAGCAAUAAAUGAUGACACUCGUGUCAUGUGUCAUGGAAUUGUUUUAGCAAAAAUAUGAUUUAAAAGUCGGUGGAUGAAAUUUGGCUGAACUGACAAGAAACAAUUAAGACAAUAUUUGAGCAAUACGUUCAUAAAGGAAUUAGCUGCACUUUGUUCUUAAUAAAUAAUGAAAGUAAAUAGAGCAAAAAUAUAUUUAAAAAUUCAGAGACUAAAAUCUUCUUUAUUGUCUAAAGUGUAAUUCGAUGAAGAAUUAAUAUGUUUUUGGUAUUGUUGAAAGGACUGCCUAGCUGUCAAUAACUUGAAAAUAAUGAAUAUUUUUAGAGAUACAUUUACAAACAGAAAGCAGUGAAAUGGUUUCAAUUUGAUAAACAAAGGUUGCCAAGAAUUUUACACAAGAC
Molecule: long non-coding RNA, 681 nt
Organism: Ctenocephalides felis (cat flea)
Lineage: Eukaryota; Metazoa; Arthropoda; Insecta; Siphonaptera; Pulicidae
Exons: 4
Source: RefSeq, a predicted model, not a curated record